AAAUGACAAUUGAAAAAAUAAUCUUUUUCAGCAUAUAACAUACACAAAGAAGAAAAACAUAACUUAUAGCAAUCAAUCAAGUCAAGAAAUAUUAAUACAAUACAAUAAAGCAUAAGAGAGAAGAAAAACAUACUGUAAAUCAUUGACACGGCGAGAAGUCCUGCGCUCAACAUUCCUAACAGAUAAAGGUUCAUCCCCUAAUGAAAAUUGCUUAAUCUCAACUCUUUCAACAUAAUCAGGCUUCUCUAAAUCAUCAAUAACAGGUUGAAGCAACCCAAUAACCCAAUUUUCAAGUCCACCUCUAUAAACCUUCCACAACUUCCCCAAAACCAUGUUCACCCAUUCAACCGACUCUUUCCUCUGCAAAUCCUUUUCCAAAAACAAAGAAAAACUAGUAGGCACUUGAGGCCACACACCACGAAAACUAUCUUCACUACUACUAACUUUGUUUCUCCUUUUCCUAAAAGUCCACAAUUUAUCAAAAACAACACCAACAAAGAAAAAAAANAAUUGGAAUAAUGCCAAAUUUAAGAGAAAGACUUAAAAGCAUGCGGGCACCUCCAGUAUACCUAAGGCCUAUCUGGUACCUAGAUAACACCAAGGGAAAUAAAUUGCUUAUAUUAAGCAUAUGAUAAUAAAGAAUAAAUAACACAAUAGCCUUGGAUCUAAGAAUAUAAAUCCAAAAAUAGAAUUACUAUCCAAAAUCCAAAACUAAUCCUUUCUACAAAAAGAUAUGAUCAAAAACAUUACCAGAAUAGCAAUUCUAGUUCAAAUGAAGAGCAUACUAAGCUAAAAGAUCAAUUUUUUCCAAUAUCUGAUAGCCAACAAAACAUUUAACUUAAGCUAUAAUAUGACGACCGACAACACACCACACGGAAAAAAGCCAGUCUAUUCCCUUGCCUCAUGCCACAAAAAAUGAAAUACCAUGUCAUUGCCUUAUCAUCAUUUUAAAAUUCUCAUUACAAUAACUGAAACAUACCCGGAUGACAAUUUGAUGAGUAUUAUUCCAAUGAGGACACAUGCAUAUAUAAAAAUAAAAAACCUCAGCUUGAAAAUGACAAUUGAAAAAAUAAUCUUUUUCAGCAUAUAACAUACACAAAGAAGAAAAACAUAACUUAUAGCAAUCAAUCAAGUCAAGAAAUAUUAAUACAAUACAAUAAAGCAUAAGAGAGAAGAAAAACAUACUGUAAAUCAUUGACACGGCGAGAAGUCCUGCGCUCAACAUUCCUAACAGAUAAAGGUUCAUCCCCUAAUGAAAAUUGCUUAAUCUCAACUCUUUCAACAUAAUCAGGCUUCUCUAAAUCAUCAAUAACAGGUUGAAGCAACCCAAUAACCCAAUUUUCAAGUCCACCUCUAUAAACCUUCCACAACUUCCCCAAAACCAUGUUCACCCAUUCAACCGACUCUUUCCUCUGCAAAUCCUUUUCCAAAAACAAAGAAAAACUAGUAGGCACUUGAGGCCACACACCACGAAAACUAUCUUCA
This 1485-nucleotide long non-coding RNA is filed under the name Lathyrus oleraceus (garden pea). RNAcentral's name for it is "Pisum sativum (pea) long non-coding RNA (PSAT_LNC030766)". Lineage: Eukaryota; Viridiplantae; Streptophyta; Magnoliopsida; Fabales; Fabaceae. The record is from RNAcentral.